Cricetulus griseus (Chinese hamster) is the source of this 117-nucleotide ribosomal RNA. The record is from Ensembl. NCBI's taxonomy places the organism in Eukaryota, Metazoa, Chordata, Mammalia, Rodentia, Cricetidae.
GUGUACAGCUAUACCUCCCUGAACAUAGCACCCAACCUUGUCUGAUCUGGGAAGUUAAGCAGGGCUGGAUGAGAGAAUAAGCUAGUGAGUUCAGUUGUAAGUGGGUACGUGUACAGA